AUAAUGAAACUUCCGUCUAGUCACAGCUCGUGCUAUAGAAACCAGAAGGUGAGGGAAUAGUCCCACGCAAUGAGGGCGGCCCGGAGAGAUCCUCGGGGAGGUGAGAUUCCUAUGA
RNAcentral lists this non-coding RNA (115 nucleotides) under uncultured Anaerobutyricum sp. Its description in RNAcentral is "pemK RNA". It matches the Rfam family "pemK RNA". The record is from RNAcentral. Lineage: Bacteria; Bacillati; Bacillota; Clostridia; Lachnospirales; Lachnospiraceae.